GAUGAACGCUGGCGGCGUGCCUAAUACAUGCAAGUCGAGCGAACAGAUAAGGAGCUUGCUCCUUUGACGUUAGCGGCGGACGGGUGAGUAACACGUGGGUAACCUACCUAUAAGACUGGAAUAACUCCGGGAAACCGGGGCUAAUGCCGGAUAACAUUUAGAACCGCAUGGUUCUAAAGUGAAAGAUGGUUUUGCUAUCACUUAUAGAUGGACCCGCGCCGUAUUAGCUAGUUGGUAAGGUAACGGCUUACCAAGGCAACGAUACGUAGCCGACCUGAGAGGGUGAUCGGCCACAAGAGAACGGAGACACGGUCCAGACUCCUAAGGGAGGCAGCAGUAGGGAAUCUGCCGGAAUGGGCGAAAGCCUGACGGAGCAACGCCGCGUGAGUGAUGAAGGUCUUCGGAUCGUAAACCUCUGUUAUUAGGGAAGAACAAAUGUGUAAGUAACUGUGCACGUCUUGACGGUACCUAAUCAGAAAGCCACGGCUAACUACGUG
RNAcentral lists this ribosomal RNA (497 nucleotides) under uncultured bacterium. Its description in RNAcentral is "partial 16S ribosomal RNA". It matches the Rfam family "Bacterial small subunit ribosomal RNA", at positions 28 to 507 of the family's 1533-position model. The record is from RNAcentral.